AGAAAAAAGGAAAGCGAGUCACAGGCCACUCAACGCCUACUCCAUGGGUCUGAUUUGCUGAGACACCAACUUCACCUUCCUAACAAGGUGCAGCUCAAAAGAAGAUGAAGGCUACCAGAAGACAUGAACAAAGGAUAAGUGGCACUAAACAUCUGAAGAACCUUUAUGUGUAUAUUGACCCCCAUACAGAAGGCAGACCAGACUGUGAUACUGCUGGAGAUAGAGGCAUCUUCUACAGCAUGUGUAAAAUUGUAAUGUGGGUGGAGGAUGUUGAGAAGCGGCAAUUGCUUGAAAUUAAUAAACUGUGCUUAAAACUUGCCUUCAUCCUGUCUUCUGUUCUGCCUCCAUAUUCUACUGCAAAGCUGUGAAAUAUAUUAACAACUUUUAAAUGCACUAGAAAUUAAGUGUAGUUCUUUGAAUGGGGUGACUCCUUAGGUAUCAGAGGCAUUGGAGAAUCUCUGGGAAAAGUCUUCAUGAACAUGUAAAAUGGAGCUUUUGUUAAGUUGCCUCUCCCAUAGCUUUGGAAGCCCCUCAGCACCAAAGAUUUAAUGUGAAUUCACUUUUAUUUUUACUGUGUCUUUUUUUAUCUUUUACAGCAAGGUGUUAACCUGUAUUGAGUCAGGGGAUGAAAGAAUUGGAUUGUAUUGCAGUGAAAGGAAGCCAUAUAUACUUAAUCUUUAUAAGGGAAAAAAUAGGUGGGGAGUAGCAGCAGCAUGGUGAAGUGGGAGGGAGUGUGUGUUUUCAUUUAUUAACUUGUUAAUUAUGUAUCACAUUGUUAGUUUAAGUAUGUUUGUGUGUGGGUACAGAAGUGAGACUUAGCAUGUGUGUUCUACACUUCUGUGUCCUAGUUUUGUUAAUUUAAGUAUGUAGAUAAUUAAAAUUUAAUUUUAACUUGUGAUAAUACUUACUCUAAUUGUAAAAUCUUGGCAUUCCUUCCAUCAUACAUCUAUUGAAUUCUUCACUGUCUUAAUUAUUUCCUCAUAAACAUCAAUUUUGAUGAUUGUGGCCCAGGUAUUUCUAUAAAGUAGGUAUGAGGUAAUUAUUUAUAAAAUAAUGAAAACCCACAAACAUUUACAAAGAUUCAGUGUUUGGCUUAAGUUACUGAGAAAUA
This 1111-nucleotide long non-coding RNA is filed under the name Junco hyemalis (dark-eyed junco). RNAcentral's name for it is "lncRNA (ENSJHYG00000001034.1)". The record is from RNAcentral. Lineage: Eukaryota; Metazoa; Chordata; Aves; Passeriformes; Passerellidae.